RNAcentral lists this ribosomal RNA (303 nucleotides) under Escherichia coli. RNAcentral describes it as "partial 16S ribosomal RNA". It matches the Rfam family "Bacterial small subunit ribosomal RNA", at positions 1241 to 1533 of the family's 1533-position model. The record is from RNAcentral. RNAcentral also lists the same sequence under 1 other name. Lineage: Bacteria; Pseudomonadati; Pseudomonadota; Gammaproteobacteria; Enterobacterales; Enterobacteriaceae.
AAAGAGAAGCGACCUCGCGAGAGCAAGCGGACCUCAUAAAGUGCGUCGUAGUCCGGAUUGGAGUCUGCAACUCGACUCCAUGAAGUCGGAAUCGCUAGUAAUCGUGGAUCAGAAUGCCACGGUGAAUACGUUCCCGGGCCUUGUACACACCGCCCGUCACACCAUGGGAGUGGGUUGCAAAAGAAGUAGGUAGCUUAACCUUCGGGAGGGCGCUUACCACUUUGUGAUUCAUGACUGGGGUGAAGUCGUAACAAGGUAACCGUAGGGGAACCUGCGGUUGGAUCACCUCCUUACCUUAAAGAA